RNAcentral lists this ribosomal RNA (371 nucleotides) under uncultured bacterium. Its description in RNAcentral is "bacterial SSU rRNA". It matches the Rfam family "Bacterial small subunit ribosomal RNA", at positions 527 to 896 of the family's 1533-position model. The record is from RNAcentral.
GAGUGCCCCAAGCGUUAUCCGGAAUCAUUGGGCGUAAAGGGUGUGUAGGUGGCGAUGUUAGUCUUCUGUCAAAUUCUUCGGCUUAACCGGGGGUCUGCAGAGGAAACGGCAUUGCUCGAGGAUGCGAGGGGUCUAUGGAACUCAUGGAGUAGGGGUGAAAUCCGUUGAUAUCAUGGGGAACACCAAAAGCGAAGGCAAUAGACUGGCGCAUUCCUGACACUGAAACACGAAAGCGUGGGUAGCGAACGGGAUUAGAUACCCCGGUAGUCCACGCCCUAAACGUUCUUCUCUAGCUUUCGGGGGUAUCAACCCCCUCGGAGGCGAAGCUAACGCGUUAAGAGAAGCGCCUGGGUAGUACGACCGCAAGGUUA